This 76-nucleotide transfer RNA is filed under the name Gemmatimonadetes bacterium 13_1_40CM_3_65_8. RNAcentral describes it as "tRNA-Lys". It matches the Rfam family "tRNA". Rfam says of the family: Transfer RNA (tRNA) molecules are approximately 80 nucleotides in length. Their secondary structure includes four short double-helical elements and three loops (D, anti-codon, and T loops). RNAcentral also lists the same sequence under 3 other names. The record is from RNAcentral. Lineage: Bacteria; Pseudomonadati; Gemmatimonadota.
GGGCCGAUAGCUCAACUGGCAGAGCAACUGACUCUUAAUCAGUAGGUUCUCGGUUCGAUUCCGAGUCGGCCCACUA